RNAcentral lists this ribosomal RNA (418 nucleotides) under uncultured Actinomycetes bacterium. Its description in RNAcentral is "bacterial SSU rRNA". It matches the Rfam family "Bacterial small subunit ribosomal RNA", at positions 9 to 430 of the family's 1533-position model. The record is from RNAcentral. Lineage: Bacteria; Bacillati; Actinomycetota; Actinomycetes.
GAGUUUGAUCCUGGCUCAGGACGAACGCUGGCGGCGUGCUUAACACAUGCAAGUCGAACGGAAAGGCCCUUUCGGGGGUGCUCGAGUGGCGAACGGGUGAGUAACACGUGGGUGAUCUGCCCUGCACUUUGGGAUAAGCCUGGGAAACUGGGUCUAAUACCGGAUAGGACUACGGCCUGCAUGGGUUGUGGUGGAAAGCUUUUGCGGUGUGGGAUGGGCCCGCGGCCUAUCAGCUUGUUGGUGGGGUGAUGGCCUACCAAGGCGACGACGGGUAGCCGGCCUGAGAGGGUGUCCGGCCACACUGGGACUGAGAUACGGCCCAGACUCCUACGGGAGGCAGCAGUGGGGAAUAUUGCACAAUGGGCGCAAGCCUGAUGCAGCGACGCCGCGUGGGGGAUGACGGCCUUCGGUUGUAACC